RNAcentral lists this non-coding RNA (27 nucleotides) under Homo sapiens (human). Lineage: Eukaryota; Metazoa; Chordata; Mammalia; Primates; Hominidae. The record is from RNAcentral.
UGACUUGGAACUGCAUCUGGAUGUGGA